Long non-coding RNA from Pipra filicauda (Wire-tailed manakin), 1205 nucleotides. RefSeq lists it as uncharacterized. The record is from RefSeq and is a predicted model, not a curated record. The transcript is spliced from 2 exons. Lineage: Eukaryota; Metazoa; Chordata; Aves; Passeriformes; Pipridae.
GCGGCCGCCCAGGCGCCUCCCGGCCCGCCCUGCAGGCGCUGCGGCCCCGGCGGGAGCGGGGUCAGCGCCGGGGGGAGCCACGCCCCCGUCCUGCCCGGCCCGGCCGUGCCGCGGUGACCCGUCGGGUCCGGGACAGAGCGCGGUGACACCGCGGGCACAGCGGGACCGGCGGCGCUGCGCCCCUCUGCUGUGGUGCCUCACGCCCCUGUGGUGGUUCCCGACACCCCCACGGCUGCCCCGGCCCCGCAGCGUCCACGUUUCCGGCCACAGAGAGCCCGCAGGGGAACAGCGCCUCUCGCACGGCCUCUCGUGCAGCGCAGCGUCACCAGCAUCCCAGGGCUUUUGCUAAACCGCUAGAAAAUAGAUCACCCUCCCUCUUCCUUGGACCUUGUACCGCCAAAGGACCCUUCAACCAGUGAAAGUUGGUUUUGCUCUCAAGUACCCUGUCCCAAAAACUUUGCUUCGGUCUGGUGACUAGAUAUGAAAGUGUCCUCACCUUUGUCAUAAAAACGCCACCAAUCACAUUUCUCCAGCUCUUCUCCCUCUAUCUAUAAGCACUCACACUCAGUCCUUGCCAGCUGUCAGGUUCAAAACACUGACAUUUUCGUACUUCAGAGAAAUCAAAUAAUAAGUAAUUGUUUUCCAGUAUCAGGUAUGACGGGGGACAGACGUUUACAAGUGCACCCGGAUCUGUUUAGCCAGCUGCCUGUACAAACAAGUGUAACAAGUCACAGUAUUUUUAACUCAAGGACUCUAAAACCUGUGAGACAGAACAUAACUGUACCCAUUUACCAGAGAGGGGCAGGACAGGACAGAGGUGAGGGAAAGACACAUCAGUGUAGAGGACUGGUGGUGUUGAAGUCCAACAGCGAGAGUCACAAAUGCUGUGAGUGCAAAGAUAUGAGGAGAGCCGUUUGGGUUGUACUUGGAUUUUACCUGGUUUUUGUUUUGUUUCUUCACCUGACUCAUCCCUUUUUCUCUCCCUCCCCCUUCCCACUCCAUCUGCUUAAACUGUGUGUUUCUGCCCAAGAUCACUGUACUGUACUGAACAUCCAUGUACUGACUGAGGAGAAAAAGGAAAAUGAGUUAUCUUCAGGUUUAUGUUCCUCUAUAGGAAAAAGUUUCCCAAAGCAAGAGCCCAGGCAGAUCUAGCUUUAUUUUUUAAUGUCAAGUUAGACGCUCUAAUUAAAAAUGUUUAAAAUACA